UACCCUACAAAAUUAGCUUGUAAGGCGGGGGAGUCAACUUAUGUAAACACAUUUUCAGGUCUUAUCGUCAAAUAUGAUACUAUUAAUACAACUCUCUCGAGUCCAAAGAUUGAAUAUCUGAAGUGUGACUUGAGUGAUCGGAUGAGAGUUUCCAAGAUGCGUUGCGCCUCUUGCAAUCGGAUGAGACACCAAAAGUCUAGUAUUCAGUGUCAGAUGGGUGUGUGCUGGCAGUAUUACGUUGGGUGAUAUAUGACCUGAAAGUUUUUGAGUUAUUUCCCUCAUCUUACAAGUCAAUUGUGUAAAGUUAAGUUAGGCCCAAGUUAAAUUCUAAGUAGCUACGAAGGUCUAUCCUUGAUCGGUUGAAUCACACUUCAAAGGUUCAGUCCUGAAUUUGAGGGGUGUGUUAACUAUUCUACAUUAUGACCUGAAAAUGUGUUUAUAAAUGGGAGGUAUCCAUCACCUUAUAAAUUCAUUCAUUCAUGAAAUUUAAUGAUGCUAUCAUCUGCAAUUGAGCUGUUUUUAAUAUUUUUGUUUAUGUUUACAGUUCGACGCCAACUUCCAAACGAAAGAAGCGGAAAGUUGGAAGCAAAGAGUAAGAUUUUAUCCUGGAAGGACCUGAAAUUUAUUCUCCUUAUUUUGUUGUCCUUACAUGUGCUGUGAAAACACUGAUUUUGAGUGUCUCCAUAGGCUAAUUAGCUAGUAAUAUUUUUUUAUUUGGUUAGCAUUAAAUAUUUUCUGCAAGAUUGUAUAUAUGUGAGAAAAAACCAGUGCGGAAAAUGAAGAUAUGAAGUUUUGCAAUCUUUCAAUGAGUUUUUUUUUUCUUCAGAAUAACCUUUUUUAUUUUUAUUUUUACGGUAAUUUAUCUUUCAAUUUGCAUGAUUUAGAAACAGUUGGAGUAAAUAUGUUGAUUUAAUU
RNAcentral lists this long non-coding RNA (915 nucleotides) under Lathyrus oleraceus (garden pea). RNAcentral's name for it is "Pisum sativum (pea) long non-coding RNA (PSAT_LNC040223)". The record is from RNAcentral. Lineage: Eukaryota; Viridiplantae; Streptophyta; Magnoliopsida; Fabales; Fabaceae.